This 472-nucleotide ribosomal RNA is filed under the name uncultured Magnetococcus sp. Its description in RNAcentral is "bacterial SSU rRNA". It matches the Rfam family "Bacterial small subunit ribosomal RNA", at positions 79 to 587 of the family's 1533-position model. The record is from RNAcentral. Lineage: Bacteria; Pseudomonadati; Pseudomonadota; Magnetococcia; Magnetococcales; Magnetococcaceae.
UUCGGGCGCCGGCGAGUGGCGAACGGGUGAGUAACACGUGGAGACCUAUCCAUUGGUGGGGGACAACAGCUGGAAACGGCUGCUAAUACCGCAUAAUCCCUACGGGGGAAAGAUUUAUCGCCAUAGGAGGGUUCCGCGUCGGAUUAGCUAGUUGGUGGGGUAACGGCCUACCAAGGCGACGAUCCGUAGCUGGUCUUAGAGGAUGAUCAGCCACACUGGGACUGGGACACGGCCCAGACUCCUACGGGAGGCAGCAGUGGGGAAUAUUGCGCAAUGGAGGAAACUCUGACGCAGCGAUGCCGCGUGGGUGAAGAAGGCCUUAGGGUUGUAAAGCCCUUUCAGUGGGAACGAUGGUGACGGUACCCACAGAAGAAGCCCCGGCUAACUCCGUGCCAGCAGCCGCGGUAAUACGGAGGGGGCGAGCGUUGUUCGGAAUUAUUGGGCGUAAAGCGCGCGUAGGCGGUUUAUUAAG